RNAcentral lists this ribosomal RNA (460 nucleotides) under uncultured bacterium. RNAcentral's name for it is "partial 16S ribosomal RNA". It matches the Rfam family "Bacterial small subunit ribosomal RNA", at positions 338 to 795 of the family's 1533-position model. The record is from RNAcentral.
CCUACGGGUGGCAGCAGUUAGGAAUCUUGGUCAAUGGACGCAAGUCUGAACCAGCCAUGCCGCGUGCACGAAGACGGCUCUAUGAGUUGUAAACUGUUUUUUUACGAGGGUAAACGCAGAUACGCGUAUCUGUCUGAACUUAUCGUACGAAUAAGGAUCGGCUAACUCCGUGCCAGCAGCCGCGGUAAUACGGAGGAUUCAAGCGUUAUCCGGAUUUAGUGGGUUUAAAGGUUGGGUAGGCGGUCGGAUAAGGUAGAGGUGAAAUCCCGAGGCUCAACUUCGGCAUUGCCUCUGAUACUGGUCGGCUAGAGAGUAGUUGCGGUAGGCGGAAUGUAUGGUGUAGCGGUGAAAUGCUUAGAGAUCAUACAGAACACCGAUUGCGAAGGCAGCUUACUAAGUUACUUCUGACGUUGAGGCACGAAAGCGUGGGGAGCAAACAGGAUUAGAUACCCGAGUAGUC